RNAcentral lists this ribosomal RNA (406 nucleotides) under uncultured bacterium. RNAcentral describes it as "partial 16S ribosomal RNA". It matches the Rfam family "Bacterial small subunit ribosomal RNA", at positions 29 to 526 of the family's 1533-position model. The record is from RNAcentral.
AUUGAACGCUGGCGGCAGGCCUAACACAUGCAAGUCGAACGAGUGGCGGACGGGUGAGUAAUGUCUGGGAAACUGCCCGAUGGAGGGGGAUAACUACUGGAAACGGUAGCUAAUACCGCAUACCAUCGGAUGUGCCCAGAUGGGAUUGGCUUGUAGGUGAGGUAACGGCUCACCUAGGCGACGAUCCCUAGCUGGUCUGAGAGGAUGACCAGCGACACGGGAACUGGGACACGGUCCAGACGCCUACGGGAGGUAGCAGUGGGGAAUAAGGAACAAUGGGCGCAAGCCUGAAGAAGCCAUGCCGGGUGUAUGAGGAAGGCCUUCGGGUUGUAAAGUACUUUCAGCGGGGAGGCGUUACCCGCAGAAGAAGAAACGGCUAACGCCGUGCCAGCAGCCGCGGUAAUUC